CUACGGGUGGCUCCAGUGGGGGAUAUUGCACAAUGGGCGAAAGCCUGAUGCAGCAACGCCGCGUGAAGGAAGACGGUUUUCGGAUUAUAAACUUCUAUCAGCUGGGAAGAAAAUGACGGUACCAGACUAAGAAGCCCCGGCUAACUAUGUGCCAGCAGCCGCGGUAAUACAUAGGGGGCAAGCGUUAUCCGGAAUUACUGGGUGUAAAGGGUACGUAGGCGGCUGAUCAAGUCAGAUGUGAAAGCCCGGAGCUCAACUCCGGGAUUGCAUUUGAAACUGGUCGGCUAGAGUGCAGGAGAGGAAAGUGGAAUUCCUAGUGUAGCGGUGAAAUGCGUAGAUAUUAGGAAGAACACCAGUGGCGAAGGCGGCUUUCUGGACUGUAACUGACGCUGAGGUACGAAAGCGUGGGGAGCGAACAGGAUUAGAUACCCCAGUAGUC
This 439-nucleotide ribosomal RNA is filed under the name uncultured bacterium. Its description in RNAcentral is "partial 16S ribosomal RNA". It matches the Rfam family "Bacterial small subunit ribosomal RNA", at positions 339 to 795 of the family's 1533-position model. The record is from RNAcentral.